This 3034-nucleotide long non-coding RNA is filed under the name Nicotiana tabacum (common tobacco). Its description in RNAcentral is "long non-coding RNA (NTAB_LNC005499)". The record is from RNAcentral. Lineage: Eukaryota; Viridiplantae; Streptophyta; Magnoliopsida; Solanales; Solanaceae.
UUUUUUUUUUUUGGUAUUUCAUCACCUUAUUCACUACCUCAUCCAUAAAAUUUCCUUUCCGUCUUGCAUCUAAUGUUGCUAAUCAUGCUUAAAAACAUGGAAGGUGAUUUUUGCAUGUGAUUCUUUGAGAGAAAGAACCUUAUUUAUUUAGUUUUUCAAUUUUUAUAUGUGUUUGGCUAGUUUUAGUAAGUUUAUGACUAAUGACUAGAGGUUAAUAAGUUGAGACUUAUUUGAAACAUUUGUGUAAGUUUCCCUAAAUUUAAUACUAUCAUAAUGACUAUCCUUAACAAAUACAGUCUCGAACGCUAGAAAAUUUUUUUAAAAAAACAUGCGUUUUGCUUUUAGAUUCAUCCAUCAUUGCUUGCAGAAAUGCAUGAUUAUUUUUAAACUCAAUUCAACAUUGCCUGGAAUUUUCAAUCAACAAAUUUGAGCUACUGGUGAUCAAAAUCAUGGAUUAAGCAUUUCUAAACUUCAAAAAAUACCUCGCAAGCCAUGAUCAGGUUAUUAUUCAACUGAAAAAACACUAAAGGAAUCCUAGGUCAAGUGACAAUAAAUUCAGUUCUAGUACAAGAGAUUCACACAAUUAGCUAUCAAUUUGAUUGAACUGUAAAUCAGCAAAUAUAAUUCUCCGUGUAACCAGCAAUUUCAAAUUAAGUGAUAGCUUAUACGAGCAGUUUAACAGCUGUGAUGAUCCGAUAGGUUAUUUAUAGUUUUAACCCUUUAUUCUCUCUUUUGAAACCUUGAAUAGCUACGUUUAGCCUUUCUCGAUUGUCACACCUCUUUUUUACCAAACUUCACUAUACCCUCUUAAAUAAAUAAAUAAAUAAAAUUUAGCAAAGCUCGAAAGGGUUUUUCAAUCUUGAAAGUGACAAAGGAUAGUGUUCAAAAGGAAAUAACUCAGAAUCGCCACCUAGCAUUAUUUUUUUGGUGUGCCAGGUCACCAUUUUUUAGAAAAUAUUUUUCCUUUUAAAAACACUUGGACUCAAAACUAAGUCUGCACCAGAGAUUCGGGUAAGGGGGUUCAUUUGACUCGGGGAGAAGGUGUUAAGCACCCCCCAGGUCCCGUGAAGGUCACGGUUGCGCACUCGAUCUAGUUGGCUUUUAGAAUAUUCAAGUUGGUGUAAAAAUAACACAGAAAAGAAAAAAAAAUAAACACACAAAAGGCUCGAGGUCGUCCCUACCUAAUAAAAGAAAAUGAAAAGGAAAAGGAAAGAAAAGUCCUAAGCUAACCUAUACUACGACUUCUCCACCAUGCUCAUCAAGGCCUCCAAAAUAUUUACAUAGUUCUUCACGGUAUACCCCGGAUAAUAAUAUUUACAAACUUCAUGGGGCAUUCCCCGGAUAAAUUUAAUUAAGGAACAACCUCUCACCUUAAAACUAACAAAUAUUCUAAGGCUUGCCUACCCAAAUGUGGUCAGCCUAAGCAUGCUCCUAGCGAGUACUAACAUCGAUAAAGAAGAUAAAAGGAACUAUAAAAGAACUAAGUAAAGGAACACAUCAACUCAUGCCCAUGUCUUGUUUUUUAACUUUUAUUUUUAUUAGACCGGGCCCGACGCCAAAAGCAUGGAGACAAAUCAAUUGCUAAUGGGCAUCGGUCUUUUCCCACUCCCCCGCGACCCAACAAUCAUACAAAAUGCCAAUCAAGUAAGGGAGAACGAAUUCCAAAUCACACAAGGAAAAGAGCAUAUGGAAUGACAACGAAAUAAAGGCAUGGUGGAUUAAAAUAUUAUAAGGGACAUAUAAAUCUAGCCAACCCGCCUCACUUUUUCACUUUUCUGUAUGUUGUUAUAUCACAACAUGAAUGAGCAGUGGCUUAAACAUUCAAGUUGGUCACCUUAGAGUUAGAAAACAAAGACAUCCUUAACCAAAUAGUAACGACAGAUGUUGCAGGAAUACUAAGUGAUGCUCACACCAAACAAUAUGUCAUUUUCAUAAUUAACUUAACAUUUUCGAACCAAGCAGGGUGCAAACCAAUCUUAGAAGCCUUUAACAAAAAUGUCUUGAACCUAACCAUGUGGAUAUUGUGAGAUUAACAGAAGCAUACAAGCCAAAAAAACAUGUCAAUUCGGUCACUGUUAGUUCAAACUUCCAUGCUUAACUUCACAAGGAUUAACGUUUUCCUUUAUCACUUAAGCGCAGGGAGAUCAAGGCACACAAACAGAACAUCAAUUUCAGUUCUUAAUGUGCAAUCAAGUUAGCAAAUGCCAUAACUCCCAUUCAGAUGUAACAAUCAGUCAAGCCCAAAACUAUCAUAAAUUCGAUCUGUUUACCCGUAACGAAGUAGUUCAAAAACUCAAUUGAAGAUCAGAUUUGAAAAUGUGGAAAAGAUAGCGAUGAGAACACAUAUUAAACUCAUGCACAAGCUGAACAAUCCACCAGAAAGCAAUUAAAUCAAAAACAACCAGCCACAAUCACUACGAAUCCAUAUUAAUAAUUUCUGAGGAUCGAUUCAAAAUAAGAAAGUCAAGGCGAAUAGGGAAUGAACCUGUUGGGGCGAAUUUUUCUUAAAUAACAGCAGGAGAUUCAGUGAUAAUUCAACUUCAAUUUCCAGAAUUCAAACGAGAUACAACUUCAAAAUUGGAAAGAAACCUCGAACAAGAACUCGAAACGGCACUGGAAUUUCGAAUCCGAACACGAACUCCAACUCGUACUUCAAUCCAUUUGUAUGUUGUAGUCGAGAUUGAAAUCGAGGGAAGCAGCAGAAAUUUUCUUUUUUUCUUUUCUUAAUAUGUAUGAAAACGAAAACGGAAAUCCAAAGAAGAAUCUGGAAGUCCCAAAAUUAAACCCUAGAACCCUUUCCUUCCGAUUUUUCUCUAAAUUUUUCCCCUAUCUUUUCUGUUCACCCCCCAAAAUCUGAGAAACCACCCCAAUAUAUAGGGGGUCUCGAACCAUCUAUGCUUCCUCGCCAAGAAAUCGAUUUUUAUCUCCAAAUCCGAAAAAAGAACUCCAAAAUUCCGAAAAUCUCCUUAUUUUCGGUAAAAAUCUGGGCAGAUGGAGGGUAUGAUUAAUUUUCAUUAAUCAUAUCCUACCCUUC